RNAcentral lists this ribosomal RNA (254 nucleotides) under uncultured bacterium. Its description in RNAcentral is "partial 16S ribosomal RNA". It matches the Rfam family "Bacterial small subunit ribosomal RNA", at positions 524 to 769 of the family's 1533-position model. The record is from RNAcentral.
UACGUAGGGGCUAGCGUUGUCCGGAAUCAUUGGGGCGUAAAGAGCGUGUAGCGGCCCGAGUAAGUCCGGCUGUAAAAGUCAACGGCUCAACUGUUGAAACGCCAGGUGGAUACUGUCGGGCUAGAGUCCGGAAGAGGCGGAGUGGAACUCCUGGUGUAGCGGUUGGGAAUGCGCAGAUAUCAGGAAGAACACCAACGGCGAAGGCAGCUCGGCUAGGACGGUACUGACGCUGAGACGCGAAAGCGGUGGGGAGC